GACGAACGCUGGCGGCGUGCUUAACACAUGCAAGUCGAACGGACAGGCCCUGAUUUUGUGGGGUGCUCGAGUGGCGAACGGGUGAGUAACACGUGUGUAACCUGCCCUUGUCUGUGGGAUAACAUCUGGUAACUGGGGCUAAUACAGGGUAGGAGCUCCUGCUCCGUGGUGGGGGUUGGAAAGUGUCGGCGGUUGGGGAUGGACUCGCGGCUUAUCAGCUGGUUGGUCGGGUAGUGGCUUACCAAGGUUUUGACGGGUAGCCGGCCUGGGAGGGUGACCGGCCACAAUGGGACUGAGAUACGGCCCAGACGCGAACGGGAGGCAGCAGUGGGGAGUAUUACACAGUGAGCGGAAGCCUGAGGCGACAACGCCGCGUGCGGGAUGACGGGCUACGGGUUGUGAACCGCUUUCGCCUGUGACGAGGCGUGAGUGACGGUAAUGGAUAAAGAAGCACCGGCUAACUACGUG
This 468-nucleotide ribosomal RNA is filed under the name uncultured bacterium. Its description in RNAcentral is "partial 16S ribosomal RNA". It matches the Rfam family "Bacterial small subunit ribosomal RNA", at positions 28 to 507 of the family's 1533-position model. The record is from RNAcentral.